RNAcentral lists this small nucleolar RNA (125 nucleotides) under Erinaceus europaeus (western European hedgehog). Its description in RNAcentral is "Small nucleolar RNA SNORA70". It matches the Rfam family "Small nucleolar RNA SNORA70". Rfam says of the family: snoRNA U70 seems to be exclusive to mammals and is a member of the H/ACA class of snoRNA which contain H (ANANNA) and ACA box motifs. H/ACA box snoRNAs are involved in the conversion of uridines to pseudouridines (5-ribosyluracil) a constituent of structural RNAs (transfer, ribosomal, small nuclear, and small nucleolar). The record is from Rfam by way of RNAcentral. Lineage: Eukaryota; Metazoa; Chordata; Mammalia; Eulipotyphla; Erinaceidae.
CUGCAGCCAAUUAAGCUGCCCUCCCCAUGGUGCCCACAGUGCAGUGGCUGCAAACAGCAGCCUCCUGGGGAGUGUGUGCAGCCUGUUGCUUGUAUAGGCUGCCCAAAGGGACCCUGGAGACAGCC